This 106-nucleotide transfer RNA is filed under the name Novosphingobium chloroacetimidivorans. RNAcentral describes it as "tRNA-OTHER". The record is from RNAcentral. Lineage: Bacteria; Pseudomonadati; Pseudomonadota; Alphaproteobacteria; Sphingomonadales; Sphingomonadaceae.
GGCGCAGUUUUCAGCGGCAAGAGGAACAACUGGGAACUACGGGAGCGCAUAGACGCUCAAAUUUGUAAUCAGGGGGCCACGGGUUCGAAUCCUGUAGCCGGCACCA